GCCAGGGAUGUAGCUCAGUGUGAAGGCCCUGGGUUCCAUCCCUAGUAUCACAAAUUAAUCAAAGCUGUGAAUUGUUUAUUUCUGGAACUUUUCAUUUGAUAUUUUCAGACAACAGUUGGCCUGAGUAACUGAAAAAGACGUGACGUGAAGAGUGCAUUUUCACGGAGAACGAAGGCAGCCCACGGGCAGGAUGAAGAGGAGGUGGGGCCAGAGGCAGCCCCAAGGGCACAGUUAUGGACACUCUCGCAAGAAGGGCAGGAAGGCAGAUUUCUGUGGCAGCUGCAUAUCAAGGAUUUUGGAAGGCUUCCCUCCAUCUUUUCCAAAUUUAGAUUAUCUGGAUUCCGGGACUACGAAGGUUCUGGG
Molecule: long non-coding RNA, 363 nt
Filed under: Heterocephalus glaber (naked mole-rat)
Lineage: Eukaryota; Metazoa; Chordata; Mammalia; Rodentia; Bathyergidae
Description: lncRNA (ENSHGLG00100036266.1)
Source: RNAcentral